CUACGGGGGGCUCCAGUGGGGAAUAUUGGACAAUGGGGGAAACCCUGAUCCAGCAAUGCCGCGUGUGUGAAGAAGGCCUGCGGGUUGUAAAGCACUUUCGGUUGGGAGGACUGCUUCUAGCACUAAUAUUGUUGGAAGUUGACGUUACCUUCAGAAGAAGCACCGGCUAACUCCGUGCCAGCAGCCGCGGUAAUACGGAGGGUGGCAAGCGUGAAUCGGAAUUACUGGGCGUAAAGCGCGCGUAGGCGGCUAGAUCAGUCGGGUGUGAAAGCCCCGGGCUUAACCUGGGAACUGCAUCCGAUACUGUCUAGCUUGAGUACAGGAGAGGAGAGUAGAAUUCCACAUGUAGCGGUGAAAUGCGUAGAUAUGUGGAGGAACACCAAUGGCGAAGGCAGCUCUCUGGCCUGAUACUGACGCUGAGGUGCGAAAGCGUGGGGAGCAAACAGGAUUAGAUACCCUAGUAGUC
RNAcentral lists this ribosomal RNA (466 nucleotides) under uncultured bacterium. RNAcentral's name for it is "partial 16S ribosomal RNA". It matches the Rfam family "Bacterial small subunit ribosomal RNA", at positions 339 to 795 of the family's 1533-position model. The record is from RNAcentral.